Molecule: non-coding RNA, 240 nt
Organism: Onthophagus taurus
Lineage: Eukaryota; Metazoa; Arthropoda; Insecta; Coleoptera; Scarabaeidae
Source: RefSeq, a predicted model, not a curated record
GAAAGAAUGAUACGUUUAAAAUGUAUCAAAUUAACAAUACUUCAGAAUUUUGUAUUGAUUGGCUUGGAAAGAUUAGAAGGAAUUGGUUAAUCGCUAUGGAUUACGAUUCUUGGUCGCUGUGGUAUAUUUGUUAUUCGGAAAAUCAUGAUAAUAGUGCAGUUGUAAUUAGUACGAGGGAGUCCAGACGAAACGAAACCGUUAUUAAUGAAGCUAAAAAGGCGAUGAAAAAUAUUAAAUUAA